UCUGGUUCCUGGUUCAUGGAUAGCUGUCUUGCUGUGUCUUCACAUGGCAGAAGGGCAGAGAAAAGUAAGGACUCUGGUCACUCUUUUAAGCAAAACUUGACAUGAACAGAUGGAAGCUAUUUAUAGUCUAUCCUCGUCAAGAAGAAUACUCAUAUAUUUUGCUGCAGAAAUGUAAUGUGUUUGAUUACAAGGCCAAAAAACCCACUUUAUGUCAAAGAGGGUGUGACAAGAAGCACAUGACCACAGGAUCUAUGGGAUCUACCAUAUGCCAUGUCAUCCAGAAGCUGCU
Molecule: non-coding RNA, 289 nt
Organism: Odocoileus virginianus texanus
Lineage: Eukaryota; Metazoa; Chordata; Mammalia; Artiodactyla; Cervidae
Source: RefSeq, a predicted model, not a curated record